CUCUUAUCAAGAGCAGGUGGAGGGACUGGCCCGAUGAAACCCGGCAACCGGCAGCCUAAUUUUUCCGGCUGCAGCGGUGCUAAUUCCAGCAGAACGUUAAGUUCUGGCAGAUAAGAG
RNAcentral lists this non-coding RNA (117 nucleotides) under Thermosediminibacter oceani. Its description in RNAcentral is "SAM-I sequence". It matches the Rfam family "SAM riboswitch aptamer (S box leader)". Rfam says of the family: The SAM riboswitch is found upstream of a number of genes which code for proteins involved in methionine or cysteine biosynthesis in Gram-positive bacteria. The SAM riboswitch acts at the level of transcription termination control. The record is from RNAcentral. Lineage: Bacteria; Bacillati; Bacillota; Clostridia; Thermosediminibacterales; Thermosediminibacteraceae. RNAcentral also lists the same sequence under 1 other name.